Molecule: ribosomal RNA, 383 nt
Filed under: uncultured bacterium
Lineage: Bacteria
Description: bacterial SSU rRNA
Rfam family: Bacterial small subunit ribosomal RNA
Source: RNAcentral
GACGAACGCUGGCGGCGUGCUUAACACAUGCAAGUCGAGCGGUAAGGCCCUUUCGGGGUACGACGAGCGGCGAACGGGUGAGUAACACGUGGGUGACCUGCCCUCAGCUCUGGGAUAAGCCUGGGAAACUGGGUCUAAUACUGGAUAUGACUCCAUGACGCAUGUUGUGGGGUGGAAAGCCUUGUGCGGCUGAGGAUGGGCCCUCGGCCUAUCAGCUUGUUGGUGGGGUGAUGGCCUACCAAGGCGACGACGGGUAGCCGGCCUGAGAGGGCGACCGGCCACACUGGGACUGAGACACGGCCCAGACUCCUACGGGAGGCAGCAGUGGGGAAUCUUGCGCAAUGGGCGAAAGCCUGACGCAGCGACGCCGCGUGAGGGAUGAC